This 88-nucleotide transfer RNA is filed under the name Clostridiales bacterium. RNAcentral's name for it is "tRNA-Ser". It matches the Rfam family "tRNA". From Rfam's summary of the family: Transfer RNA (tRNA) molecules are approximately 80 nucleotides in length. Their secondary structure includes four short double-helical elements and three loops (D, anti-codon, and T loops). The record is from RNAcentral. Lineage: Bacteria; Bacillati; Bacillota; Clostridia; Eubacteriales.
GGAGAUGUACCCAAGUGGCUGAAGGGGUCGCACUCGAAAUGCGAUAGGCCGGGCAACCGGCGCGGGCGUUCAAAUCGUCUCAUCUCCG